Megalobrama amblycephala (Wuchang bream) is the source of this 902-nucleotide long non-coding RNA. RefSeq lists it as uncharacterized. The record is from RefSeq and is a predicted model, not a curated record. The transcript has 2 exons. Lineage: Eukaryota; Metazoa; Chordata; Actinopteri; Cypriniformes; Xenocyprididae.
UUACAAGUUUUGCCAUUAAUUCAGCCACCCUGAUCACACACUACAAGCUAAAACACUGCCAUCAACUGUCCUUAUAGCUUUUAAAUGCUUUGAAUCUUUUCUAUUUGCAAGUAAUAAAUUCUCACCUGUGCACUUACAAAUCCCCAUCUAAUCAUUAUAUAUUUAUAUAUAAUUAUAUUUAAUUAUAUCAUUAUUUUCAAAGCAAAACCCAUCAAUUUGCUUGGGUCUUGGGUUAUUUAUCUAUAUUUGGGUAAUUGAUAAAGUUAUGUUUAAUUCCUUGUAAAGUAGGAAUAAAAAUGUUUAUAAAAAUGUUCUCUAUUUUGAAAGGCCAGUGUCAGUGAAGAUGGUGUGGUCACUGGAAUCCUGGUGUUUGUGGGAAAUGUGAAGGAGCUUCUCCCAGGAUUCUACAACAGUGUUGUCCUGAUGACUGAGGUAUUUAUUUUUUUUACUUUCUUGCCUCUUUGGAACAUGUCCAUUUACACAUACUGUGUAGAGGUGGUGCGCAGCUUCAUGGACAUUUAAGGUUUUUUGCAGAUGAAGAGCUUCUGGAACAUUGACAUAAACAGCACUUUUUCAUACAACUUAAAAAAGGUGGUGACAGACAAUUUUGGUUUUCUUGUUUUUGUGCCUUUGGAAUUCAUUGUUUUGUUGUUGUUGUUUUUUCUUUUCAAAAUUACAUUCACUGUAAUGCUGGAGUAAGAUUUUAGAAAACUUUUGGUCCUGUUUAAUGUUUGUGCUAGUAAAGGUUGCAGAGCUUAUAAGUAACAAGGUUUACAAAAGGUAACACUUUACAAAAGGUCUCGCUUGUUAACAUCAAUUAAUAUAUUAGACAACAUUAUCUAACUAUGUGCAUUAACUUUUGUACAGUAUUUAUCAAUAUUUGUUAACAUUAGGCAAUAAAA